Molecule: ribosomal RNA, 228 nt
Filed under: uncultured bacterium
Lineage: Bacteria
Description: partial 16S ribosomal RNA
Rfam family: Bacterial small subunit ribosomal RNA
Source: RNAcentral
UAAUACUUGGCAAUCUACCUUCAAGUGGGAGAUAACCCGCCGAAAGGCGGGCUAAUAUUCCGUAAGACCACAGGAUCUCAUGAUCCAGGGGUUAUAGCUCCGCAAGGGGCGCUCGAAGAGGAGCCCGAGUCCUAUCAGCUAGUUGGUGAGGUAACGGCUCACCAAGGCUUCGACGGGUAGCCGGCCUGAAAGGGUGAUCGGCCACACUGGCACUGAGACACGGGCCAG